This is a long non-coding RNA of Fukomys damarensis (Damara mole-rat), 496 nucleotides long. RefSeq lists it as uncharacterized. The record is from RefSeq and is a predicted model, not a curated record. The transcript has 3 exons. NCBI's taxonomy places the organism in Eukaryota, Metazoa, Chordata, Mammalia, Rodentia, Bathyergidae.
AUCUGAACUUUGGUCAGCUGAAUCCAGAGAUAUCUUCUAUAAAAUUACACCUUUUCAUCUUUUAUGUUCUCAGCUUGUCUUUGCCCCUCGUCUGGCUCUGCUCUGAGCAGGGGUGACUCCUCCUCACUCGUUUUCCUUCUGAGGCUUUUCCCAUACUCAUCCCACACUACUUCAACCGACAUCCACGUAGAAGGAAUGACAAUCAGAUGACUAAUUCCACCUUCUGCACUGGACCUGGCACUGUGAGACUCCAGCUCCUCCCCAAAGUCAAAAUGACCGAGAAAGCCACUCAUUCAUCUAAACUGAUGUCCAGAGCUGCGUCCGAGAGUUCACGAUGGCGAUUAUCUCUGAAUGGUAGAACAUCAUCGCAGUUCUGAGUAACUACGAGAUAGCCACUUGCCACUCCUCUUCCAAAAGAGGAGGUCAAAUGCAACUUGGAAUUCAGGAUCCUUACCCUGGCUGCAUACUGCAUGGCACAAAUGGAACACACCCCGCA